This 754-nucleotide ribosomal RNA is filed under the name uncultured fungus. RNAcentral's name for it is "eukaryotic LSU rRNA". It matches the Rfam family "Eukaryotic large subunit ribosomal RNA", at positions 30 to 821 of the family's 3401-position model. Lineage: Eukaryota; Fungi. The record is from RNAcentral.
GAACUUAAGCAUAUCAGUAAGCGGAGGAAAAGAAACUAACAAGGAUUCCCCCAGUAACGGCGAGUGAAGCGGGAAGAGCUCAAAUUUGGAAACCUCGCAAGAGGUGUUGUAUUUGAGAGGACAAGGAGUAAGACUGGAGGAGCUUGCGAGGUCCUUUGGAAAGAGGCACCAUAGAGGGUGAGAGUCCCGUACGCAAGUUGUGCCAAUUUACACACUCCGUGUCCUAAGAGUCGGAUUGUUUGGGAAUGCAGUCCUAAAUGGGUGAUACGAGUCAUCUAAAGCUAAAUACAGGCAAGAGACCGAUAGCAAACAAGUACCGUGAGGGAAAGAUGAAAAGAACUUGUAACCGAGUGUCAAAAGUGCGUGAAAUUGUGGAGAGGGAAACGCUGUUUAUCUGAAGCAUGUGAGAAAAAGUGUGUCACGAGUAACAUUGUGGCAGUGUCAUUUAUUCUCAGUGACCAGGAAUAUUGUUGGUAUUGCGAGGUGCACUGGCGGAAGGUGGCUUUUGUCCUCGGAUAAAACGCUUUAUAGACGCAAGAAAGCAAGCAUUAGCAAUAAUAUAAUGCCUGGUAGCAGGUAAUCAUCGACCCGUCUUGAAACACGGACCAAGGAGUGUAACUGCACUGCGAGUCAUUGAGAACGCAAUCUCAAGGGCGGAACGAAAGUAAAUGUGUGUGAUUCAGAGUGUUGAAGCAGCACAGGCGUGUCUGAAAUAUUCCAGACAUAGUCAGAGCAGGGCAGCUACGACCCGAAA